AUGUUGGCUUAGAAGCAGCCAUCAUUUAAAGAGUGCGUAAUAGCUCACUAGUCGAGUGACACUGCGCCGAAAAUGUACCGGGGCUAAACAUAUUACCGAAGCUGUGGAUUGUCCUUUGGACAAUGGUAGGAGAGCGUUCUAAGGGCGUCGAAGCAUGAUCGCAAGGACAUGUGGAGCGCUUAGAAGUGAGAAUGCCGGUGUGAGUAGCGAAAGACGGGUGAGAAUCCCGUCCACCGAUUGACUAAGGUUUCCAGAGGAAGGCUCGUCCGCUCUGGGUUAGUCGGGUCCUAAGCUGAGGCCGACAGGCGUAGGCGAUGGAUAACAGGUUGAUAUUCCUGUACCACCUAGUAUCGUUUUAAUCGAUGGGGGGACGCAGUAGGAUAGGCGAAGCGUGCUGUUGGAGUGCACGUCCAAGCAGUAAGGCUGAGUGUUAGGCAAAUCCGGCACUCAUAAGGCUGAGCUGUGAUGGGGAGAGGAAAUUGUUUCCUCGAGUCGUUGAUUUCACACUGCCGAGAAAAGCCUCUAGAUAGAUAACAGGUGCCCGUACCGCAAACCGACACAGGUAGUCAAGAUGAGAAUUCUAAGGUGAGCGAGCGAACUCUCGUUAAGGAACUCGGCAAAAUGACCCCGUAACUUCGGGAGAAGGGGUGCUCUUUAGGGUUCACGCCCAGAAGAGCCGCAGUGAAUAGGCCCAAGCGACUGUUUAUCAAAAACACAGGUCUCUGCUAAACCGUAAGGUGAUGUAUAGGGGCUGACGCCUGCCCGGUGCUGGAAGGUUAAGAGGAGUGGUUAGCUUCUGCGAAGCUACGAAUCGAAGCCCCAGUAAACGGCGGCCGUAACUAUAACGGUCCUAAGGUAGCGAAAUUCCUUGUCGGGUAAGUUCCGACCCGCACGAAAGGCGUAACGAUUUGGGCACUGUCUCAACGAGAGACUCGGUGAAAUCAUAGUACCUGUGAAGAUGCAGGUUACCCGCGACAGGACGGAAAGACCCCGUGGAGCUUUACUGUAGCCUGAUAUUGAAAUUCGGCACAGCUUGUACAGGAUAGGUAGGAGCCUUUGAAACGUGAGCGCUAGCUUACGUGGAGGCGUUGGUGGGAUACUACCCUAGCUGUGUUGGCUUUCUAACCCGCACCACUUAUCGUGGUGGGAGACAGUGUCAGGCGGGCAGUUUGACUGGGGCGGUCGCCUCCUAAAAGGUAACGGAGGCGCUCAAAGGUUCCCUCAGAAUGGUUGGAAAUCAUUCAUAGAGUGUAAAGGCAUAAGGGAGCUUGACUGCGAGACCUACAAGUCGAGCAGGGUCGAAAGACGGACUUAGUGAUCCGGUGGUUCCGCAUGGAAGGGCCAUCGCUCAACGGAUAAAAGCUACCCCGGGGAUAACAGGCUUAUCUCCCCCAAGAGUUCACAUCGACGGGGAGGUUUGGCACCUCGAUGUCGGCUCAUCGCAUCCUGGGGCUGUAGUCGGUCCCAAGGGUUGGGCUGUUCGCCCAUUAAAGCGGUACGCGAGCUGGGUUCAGAACGUCGUGAGACAGUUCGGUCCCUAUCCGUCGUGGGCGUAGGAAAUUUGAGAGGAGCUGUCCUUAGUACGAGAGGACCGGGAUGGACAUACCUCUGGUGUACCAGUUGUCGUGCCAACGGCAUAGCUGGGUAGCUAUGUAUGGACGGGAUAAGUGCUGAAAGCAUCUAAGCAUGAAGCCCCCCUCAAGAUGAGAUUUCCCAACUUCGGUUAUAAGAUCCCUCGAAGAUGACGAGGUUAAUAGGUUCGAGGUGGAAGCGUGGUGACACGUGGAGCUGACGAAUACUAAUCGAUCGAAGACUUAAUCAAUUUUUAAA
Molecule: ribosomal RNA, 1830 nt
Filed under: Staphylococcus epidermidis
Lineage: Bacteria; Bacillati; Bacillota; Bacilli; Caryophanales; Staphylococcaceae
Description: bacterial LSU rRNA
Rfam family: Bacterial large subunit ribosomal RNA
Source: RNAcentral